UAUAUCUCAAUGCUGUUUUCUGACAUUCUCUUUUUUGGUAGAUGAGAAAUGGGCAAAGCAUUCCAUUCAUUCCUUUUCUUAUGAUGACUGAUUGCAAAAGGCUUCCUUGCACAUGUUCUGCUGAGAUGAGGAGGAGGAGGAGGAGAAGGAAGAGAAAAUGGAACAGUGAGCCACAGACGGCUAAUCACGUCCGGAACCAAAAGCACCUGCCCUAUCUGCCUCUACAUUUGGAUUGCUGUUAUACUUUGUAUAAGAAGGUGCUAAUAACUUGGAGGCUCUUAGACUGGGCGAUCUAAUCCCUUUGUAUGAUAAAGGCUCGCCAUGCCGAGAGUGGUUGCCAGAUCGUGGACAUGGUGCUUCAGAGGGUUAGUUCUUAACGUCGUACUCCAGCUCUGCACUCACCCGUGUUUUAUCUGCUAUUUUUUCCCUUUUUACCUCCCAGAAACCUGGCAACAAGCUGAAGAAGCAGCAGUAGAUGUGUGAGGUUGCCCAUUGAGUGCUUCGGACAGUGGAUGAUGACCGGUGUGACUACCAGGAUUUUUCCUCCCUCUGCAUCAUACUCAAAAAAAUGCUUGGUUUCUUGUAUUCUGUCACAGACAAACCUUAAUAUUUGUAAGAUAGAAAGCUAUGUAACAAAAAGACAAAUACACAGUUUGCAAAGCAAUGUUAAUAAACCGAAGCUCAGUCAGA
This 690-nucleotide long non-coding RNA is filed under the name Sinocyclocheilus anshuiensis. Its description in RNAcentral is "lncRNA (ENSSANG00000048135.1)". Lineage: Eukaryota; Metazoa; Chordata; Actinopteri; Cypriniformes; Cyprinidae. The record is from RNAcentral.